Molecule: ribosomal RNA, 454 nt
Filed under: uncultured bacterium
Lineage: Bacteria
Description: bacterial SSU rRNA
Rfam family: Bacterial small subunit ribosomal RNA
Source: RNAcentral
AACGAACGUUGGCGGCGUGGAUUAGGCAUGCAAGUCGGGGGAAUCCCAGCAAUGGGGGAACCGGCGUAAGGGGCAGUAAGGCGUGGGUACCUACCCUGGGGUUCGGGAUAGCCGUCAGAGAUGGCGGGUAAUACCGGAUGACCUCGGGAGAGCAAAGAUUUAUCGCCCUGGGAGGGGCCCACGUGAUAUUAGCUUGUUGGUGAGGUAAUGGCUCACCAAGGCGAAGAUGUCUAGCGGGUGUGAGAGCACGACCCGCGCCACUCGCACUGAGACACUGGCGAGACACCUACGGGUGGCUGCAGUCGAGGAUCUUCGGCAAUGGGCGCAAGCCUGACCGAGCGACGCCGCGUGUGCGAUGAAGGCCUUCGGGUUGUAAAGCACUGUCGAGGGGGAGGAAAGCGAAAGCUUGACCUAUCCCUGGAGGAAGCACGGGCUAAGUUCGUGCCAGCCGCCG